GGGGAUAUAGCUCAGCUGGGAGAGCGCCACACUGGCAGUGUGGAGGUCAGGGGUUCGAGCCCCCUUAUCUCCACCA
This 76-nucleotide transfer RNA is filed under the name Candidatus Hippobium faecium. RNAcentral describes it as "tRNA-Ala". It matches the Rfam family "tRNA". From Rfam's summary of the family: Transfer RNA (tRNA) molecules are approximately 80 nucleotides in length. Lineage: Bacteria; Bacillati; Armatimonadota. The record is from RNAcentral.